Microcebus murinus (gray mouse lemur) is the source of this 532-nucleotide non-coding RNA. Lineage: Eukaryota; Metazoa; Chordata; Mammalia; Primates; Cheirogaleidae. The record is from RefSeq and is a predicted model, not a curated record.
GUGAGAAUGGGGAUGCAACCCGGGCAGCUGAAACUGUGCAACGGGACUCCAGGGAAACUCUAGAGUACCACUGAGCAGGAGUAUGAAAACCUCAAAUUAGCCCAAUCCCCAUAUUUGAGAUGAAGAAAAUCAGGCCAAGGCUGAUUAAGUAACUUGUCCAGGAUUACAGAAGAAGGGAGAGGGAGAUUUGGACACACAGAUGCACCAAGAAGGCCAUGUGAGGACACACGCAGAGACUGGAGUAAUGCAACUGUAAGACAAGAAGUGCCAAGGAUUGCCAGCAACCAGCAGAAGCCAGGAAGAGGCAGGGAAAGAUUUUUCCCUAGAGCCAUCAAAAAUGAUCAUGACCUUGCUGACACUGUGAUUUCAGGUUUCUAGCCUCCAGAACUGUGAAAGAAUAAAUUUCUGUUGUUUUAAUCUACCAUCAAACCCUUAAUUCCUGAACCUGUCUCUUCUGACGAUGGGAGCAUUAUAUGUUGGUGGCAAUUUGUUGUUCCUAGUGUCCUAGGAAACUAAUACAAGAAAGGAAGAA